Molecule: ribosomal RNA, 406 nt
Filed under: uncultured bacterium
Lineage: Bacteria
Description: partial 16S ribosomal RNA
Rfam family: Bacterial small subunit ribosomal RNA
Source: RNAcentral
AUUGAACGCUGGCGGCAGGCCUAACACAUGCAAGUCGAGCGAGCGGCGGACGGGUGAGUAAUGUAUGGGAAACUGCCUGCUGGCGGGGGGUAACUACUGGAAACGGUCUCUAAUACCGCAUACCAUCAGAUGUGCCCAGAUUGGAUUAGCUAGUAGGUGGGGUAACGGCUCACCUAGGCGACGAUCCCUAGCUGGUCUGAGAGGAUGACCAGCCACACUGGAGAGGGGACACGGUCCCGAAUCCUACGGGAGACAGCAGUGGGGCAUCUUGGAGAAUGGGCGCGAGCCUGAUGCAGCCAAGCCGCGUGAGUGAAGAACGCCUUCGGGUUGUAAAGCACUUUCAGCGGCGAGGCGUUACCCGAAGAAGAAGCACCGGCUAACUCCGUGCCAGCAGCCGCGGUAAUUC